AUUGAACGCUGGCGGCAUGCCUUACACAUGCAAGUCGAACGGUAACAGGUCUUCGGAUGCUGACGAGUGGCGAACGGGUGAGUAAUAUAUCGGAACGUGCCCAGUCGUGGGGGAUAACGCAGCGAAAGCUGUGCUAAUACCGCAUACGAUCUAUGGAUGAAAGCGGGGGAUCGCAAGACCUCGCGCGAUUGGAGCGGCCGAUAUCAGAUUAGGUAGUUGGUGGGGUAAAGGCCCACCAAGCCAACGAUCUGUAGCUGGUCUGAGAGGACGACCAGCCACACUGGGACUGAGACACGGCCCAGACUCCUACGGGAGGCAGCAGUGGGGAAUUUUGGACAAUGGGCGCAAGCCUGAUCCAGCCAUGCCGCGUGCAGGAUGAAGGCCUUCGGGUUGUAAACUGCUUUUGUACGGAACGAAAAGACUCUUUCUAAUAAAGAGGGUCCAUGACGGUACCGUAAGAAUAAGCACCGGCUAACUACGUG
This 482-nucleotide ribosomal RNA is filed under the name uncultured bacterium. RNAcentral describes it as "bacterial SSU rRNA". It matches the Rfam family "Bacterial small subunit ribosomal RNA", at positions 30 to 507 of the family's 1533-position model. The record is from RNAcentral.